GUACGUCUUCAGGGCGGGGUGCGAUUCCCCACCGGCGGUAUGCCGCGCAAUGCGGCGAGCCCGCGAGCGCCCGGCGAAAGCCGGGGUCAGCAGAUCUGGUGCGACGCCAGAGCCGACGGUCACAGUCCGGAUGAAAGAAGAUGUGC
RNAcentral lists this non-coding RNA (146 nucleotides) under Bordetella trematum. RNAcentral's name for it is "FMN sequence". It matches the Rfam family "FMN riboswitch aptamer (RFN element)". From Rfam's summary of the family: The RFN element is a highly conserved domain that is found frequently in the 5'-untranslated regions of prokaryotic mRNAs that encode for flavin mononucleotide (FMN) biosynthesis and transport proteins. The record is from Rfam by way of RNAcentral. Lineage: Bacteria; Pseudomonadati; Pseudomonadota; Betaproteobacteria; Burkholderiales; Alcaligenaceae.